RNAcentral lists this long non-coding RNA (603 nucleotides) under Bos grunniens (domestic yak). RNAcentral's name for it is "lncRNA (ENSBGRG00000016393.1)". The record is from RNAcentral. Lineage: Eukaryota; Metazoa; Chordata; Mammalia; Artiodactyla; Bovidae.
CUUCUGGCUACUGGGAGUCCCUGUCCCUCCGCCGCCGCCGCCGCCGCCUCUUCCGUCUUCCUCACCGAGCCAAAGCCGCCGCCAUCUUGGUUCGCCCCUCAAUAGUGGCGCGCGCGGGGCCACCCAGGCAGCGGCUGCAGGGGCGGCCCGUUGGCCCCACCAUUUAAAGAGGCAGGAACGAAGCUAAAGUAUUGAUGGAAAAACACACACACACAAGAAGUAGCUGUUGGAAACGAUAAGGCCAAAAUGUGACAUCAUUGAAUCAAUCCAAGUUUGCCAGAGCACGUGGCUUCCUCUUCAGAUACCAACACUGAAAGAUUCUGGGUUGAUCUGUUAUUGGACCCCACGUCCAAGGUCAGGGGUGGCGGCUGAAAGGAGCAAACCCACGUCCAAGGAGCGGCUGUUGCGUGGCGCAGGAGGACCAAGAGGAGCUACUCCACAUUCAAGGUCAGGAGGGCUGGCUGUGAGGAGAUACCCCACGUCCAAGGUAAGAGAAACCCAAGUGAGACGGUAGGUGGUGCUAGAGGGCAUCAGAGGGCAGACACACUGAAACCAUAAUCACAGAAAACUAGCCAAUCUGAUCACACGGACCACAGCCUUGUC